AGUGAACGCUGGCGGUAGGCCUAACACAUGCAAGUCGAACGGCAGCACAGUAAGAGCUUGCUCUUACGGGUGGCGAGUGGCGGACGGGUGAGGAAUACAUCGGAAUCUACUUUUUCGUGGGGGAUAACGUAGGGAAACUUACGCUAAUACCGCAUACGACCUACGGGUGAAAGCAGGGGAUCUUCUGACCUUGCGCGAUUGAAUGAGCCGAUGUCGGAUUAGCUAGUUGGCGGGGUAAAGGCCCACCAAGGCGACGAUCCGUAGCUGGUCUGAGAGGAUGAUCAGCCACACUGGAACUGAGACACGGUCCGGACUCCUACGGGAGGCAGCAGUGGGGAAUAUUGGACAAUGGGCGCAAGCCUGAUCCAGCCAUACCGCGUGGGUGAAGAAGGCCUUCGGGUUGUAAAGCCCUUUUGUUGGGAAAGAAAAGCAGCAGGUUAAUACCCCGCUGUUCUGACGGUACCCAAAGAAUAAGCACCGGCUAACUUCGUG
RNAcentral lists this ribosomal RNA (492 nucleotides) under uncultured bacterium. RNAcentral's name for it is "partial 16S ribosomal RNA". It matches the Rfam family "Bacterial small subunit ribosomal RNA", at positions 29 to 507 of the family's 1533-position model. The record is from RNAcentral.